Molecule: ribosomal RNA, 373 nt
Filed under: uncultured organism
Description: partial 16S ribosomal RNA
Rfam family: Bacterial small subunit ribosomal RNA
Source: RNAcentral
GUAGGUGGCAAGCGUUGUCCGGAAUUAUUGGGCGUAAAGCGCGCGCAGACGGUCCUUUAAGUCUGAUGUGAAAGCCCACGGCUCAACCGUGGAGGGUCAUUGGAAACUGGGGGACUUGAGUACAGAAGAGGAAAGCGGAAUUCCAAGUGUAGCGGUGAAAUGCGUAGAGAUUUGGAGGAACACCAGUGGCGAAGGCGGCUUUCUGGUCUGUAACUGACGCUGAGGCGCGAAAGCGUGGGGAGCAAACAGGGAUUAGAUACCCUGGUAGUCCACGCCGUAAACGAUGAGUGCUAAGUGUUAGGGGGGUUUCCGCCCCCUUAGUGCUGCAGCUAACGCAUUAAGCACUCCGCCUGGGGAUACGGCCGCAAGGCUG